Molecule: unclassified non-coding RNA, 400 nt
Filed under: soil metagenome
Description: partial contains 5.8S ribosomal RNA, internal transcribed spacer 2, and large subunit ribosomal RNA
Rfam family: 5.8S ribosomal RNA (bases 1-122)
Source: RNAcentral
GAUGAAGAACGCAGCGAAAUGCGAUACUUGGUGUGAAUUGCAGAAUCCCGUGAACCAUCGAGUCUUUGAACGCAAGUUGCGCCUCAAGCCAUUAGGUUGAGGGCACGUCUGCCUGGGCGUCACAUAUCGUUGCCUGAUGCCAGUUUCCUCGUGAUGGGUGACUGUGCAGGGCGAAUGAUGGCUUCCCGUGAGCAUUGUUGCCUCAUGGUUGGUUGAAAAUUGAGUCCUUGGUAGGGAGCGCCGUGAUAGAUGGUGGUUGAGUGACGAACGAGACCCAAUCAUGUGAGACCCCUACCGAAUUUGGCCUUCAUGACCCUCAUGCGUCUUUGGAACGCUCAUGACGAGACCUCAGGUCAGGCGGGGCUACACGCUGAGUUUAAGCAUAUCAAUAAGCGGAGGA